CGGCAGAAGUCCAUUUCAUCGUUUUUUUAAUUUUAUUUUUUUCACAUCUCUAAUGGCAACAGAUAUAAUCCCAAAACCUUCUAAGUGGUUCUCUAACAAGAGUCUCAGGUUAAGCCUCCAUCGUUGCAGGUCAAAGUCUAGUUCAACCCUAAGCUCUCCUUCCUCUCCCAUGUCUCCAUGCACAGUACCACAAAAUAAUUACUCGAAAGAAAAUGAGCUUAAAGAGGUGUUUCGUCACUUCGAUAGCGAUGGAGAUGAGAAGAUCUCAGCCCUAGAGCUUAGGUCUUACUUUGGGUCAAUUGGGGAGUACAUGUCUUAUGAGGAGGCUCAAGCAGUGAUAGAAGAUCUUGACUCAGAUGGGGAUAAGUUAUUAGACUUCAAAGAUUUCUUGAGGCUCAUGAAAGGGGAAGCAAAUGAAGAAGAUGCUGAUCUUAAAAAGGCCUUUGAAAUGUUUGAAGUGGAGAAGGGAUCAGGUUGCAUAACCCCAAAGGGCUUGCAGAGAAUGCUUCAUCGCCUAGGAGAUGCAAAAUCCUACGAUGAAUGUGUGGCCAUGAUCCAUGUGUUUGAUACUGAUGGCAAUGGAGUUCUUGAUUUUCAAGAAUUUCAACAAAUGAUGGCUUAAUUCACAAUUGUACGCAUAUAUAUAUAUGUAUGUUACAGGAUAAAAAGGAAAGGAGGAGAGAAAGAGGCAAGAAUCCAACUUCUUUUUCUAUCUUUCAUUUUUUUUUUUUUA
RNAcentral lists this unclassified non-coding RNA (733 nucleotides) under Hevea brasiliensis (rubber tree). Lineage: Eukaryota; Viridiplantae; Streptophyta; Magnoliopsida; Malpighiales; Euphorbiaceae. The record is from RNAcentral.